GACAGAGGGUGCAAACGUUGCUCGGAAUUACUGGGCGUAAAGCGCGUGUAGGCGGACCUGCAAGUCGGACGUGAAAGCCCUGGGCUCAACCCAGGAACUGCAUCCGAAACUGCGGGCCUGGAGUGGUGGAGAGGGAAGCAGAAUUCCUGGUGUAGAGGUGAAAUUCGUAGAUAUCAGGAGGAACACCGGUGGCGAAGGCGGCUUCCUGGCCUGUUCUUGACGCUGAGGCGCGAAAGCUAGGGUAGCAAACGGG
Molecule: ribosomal RNA, 253 nt
Filed under: uncultured bacterium
Lineage: Bacteria
Description: partial 16S ribosomal RNA
Rfam family: Bacterial small subunit ribosomal RNA
Source: RNAcentral